RNAcentral lists this ribosomal RNA (314 nucleotides) under uncultured bacterium. RNAcentral describes it as "partial 16S ribosomal RNA". It matches the Rfam family "Bacterial small subunit ribosomal RNA", at positions 495 to 807 of the family's 1533-position model. The record is from RNAcentral.
GGGGGGGGGGGGGGGGGGGCCGCGGUAAUACGAAGGGUGCAAGCGCUACUCGGAAUUACUGGGCGUAAAGCGUGCGUAGGUGGUGGUUUAAGUCCGUUGUGAAAGCCCUGGGCUCAACCUGGGAAAUGCAGUGGAUACUGGGUCACUAGAGUGUGGUAGAGGAUAGUGGAAUUUCCGGUGUAGCAGUGAAAUGCGUAGAGAUCGGAAGGAACAUCUGUGGCGAAGGCGACUAUCUGGGCCAACACUGACGCUCAUGCACGAGAGCGUGGGGAGCAAACAGGAUUAGAUACCCCAGUAGUCCCUGUCUCUUAUAC